GUCGAGCUUAGUAACAUGAGUUUGUUAUCCGAGUGGAGAUACCAAGAUGAUGGAGCAAUUGUGCCGAUGUGUUUGGCCAAUUCUGGUUCUGAUACCUAAUCAGACCAAAGCAGAUUUCACCAUUUUU
This 127-nucleotide non-coding RNA is filed under the name Brassica napus (rape). The record is from RNAcentral. Lineage: Eukaryota; Viridiplantae; Streptophyta; Magnoliopsida; Brassicales; Brassicaceae.